CCUACGGGAGGCAGCAGUGAGGAAUAUUGGUCAAUGGACGAGAGUCUGAACCAGCCAAGUAGCGUGCAGGAUGACGGCCCUAUGGGUUGUAAACUGCUUUUAUACAGGGAUAAAGUGCACUACGUGUAGUGUUUUGUAGGUACUGUAUGAAUAAGGACCGGCUAAUUCCGUGCCAGCAGCCGCGGUAAU
RNAcentral lists this ribosomal RNA (189 nucleotides) under uncultured rumen bacterium. RNAcentral's name for it is "partial 16S ribosomal RNA". It matches the Rfam family "Bacterial small subunit ribosomal RNA", at positions 338 to 524 of the family's 1533-position model. The record is from RNAcentral.